CUAGUUUUGCGCCUUUAGUCAAGUUUAAUGUUAAAAUUGUUAAUGUUGUUAAGUAAUUUGAAAGGUCAAAUUAGGGGAGCCAUGUAACUGCUGGUGAGUUAUUCCAAGCUUACCACAUGGUGGCGCUCUCCACAACUCAUGAGGGCGCUCUUCAUUGUUACCACAGAUUCAUGGUCCUUAUUGAUGACACAUGUCUGUGUCCUAAAUUUUUGACUCGUAUUUUGACUCGUAUUUUGACUCAGUAUAAUUCGAUCAUCCUUCCACCCCAGGACCCGAGGACAGAGUUUUUACGUGAACUCUGCAAUCGCCACAGUCAUAUUUGGUAAUAAAUAAGCCAGGAAUAUACAGUGUUGAACUUGAAA
Molecule: long non-coding RNA, 362 nt
Organism: Patiria miniata (bat star)
Lineage: Eukaryota; Metazoa; Echinodermata; Asteroidea; Valvatida; Asterinidae
Exons: 2
Source: RefSeq, a predicted model, not a curated record